UUUGGUUAAGUUAGAAAGGGCGCACGGUGGAUGCCUUGACACUAGGAGUCGAUGAAGGACGGGACUAACGCCGAUAUGCUUCGGGGAGCUGUAAGUAAGCUUUGAUCCGAAGAUUUCCGAAUGGGGAAACCCACCAUACGUAAUGGUAUGGUAUCCUUAUCUGAAUACAUAGGGUAAGGAAGACAGACCCAGGGAACUGAAACAUCUAAGUACCUGGAGGAAGAGAAAGCAAAUGCGAUUUCCUGAGUAGCGGCGAGCGAAACGGAACAUAGCCCAAACCAAGAGGCUUGCCUCUUGGGGUUGUAGGACAUUCUAUACGGAGUUACAAAGGAACGAGGUAGACGAAGCGACCUGGAAAGGUCCGUCGUAGAGGGUAACAACCCCGUAGUCGAAACUUCGUUCUCUCUUGAAUGUAUCCUGAGUACGGCGGAACACGUGAAAUUCCGUCGGAAUCUGGGAGGACCAUCUCCCAAGGCUAAAUACUCCCUAGUGAUCGAUAGUGAACCAGUACCGUGAGGGAAAGGUGAAAAGCACCCCGGAAGGGGAGUGAAAGAGAUCCUGAAACCGUGUGCCUACAAAUAGUCAGAGCCCGUUAAUGGGUGAUGGCGUGCCUUUUGUAGAAUGAACCGGCGAGUUACGAUCCCGUGCGAGGUUAAGCUGAAGAGGCGGAGCCGCAGCGAAAGCGAGUCUGAAUAGGGCGUUUAGUACGUGGUCGUAGACCCGAAACCAGGUGAUCUACCCAUGUCCAGGGUGAAGUUCAGGUAACACUGAAUGGAGGCCCGAACCCACGCACGUUGAAAAGUGCGGGGAUGAGGUGUGGGUAGCGGAGAAAUUCCAAUCGAACCUGGAGAUAGCUGGUUCUCCCCGAAAUAGCUUUAGGGCUAGCCUUAAGUGUAAGAGUCUUGGAGGUAGAGCACUGAUUGGACUAGGGGUCCUCAUCGGAUUACCGAAUUCAGUCAAACUCCGAAUGCCAAUGACUUAUCCUUAGGAGUCAGACUGCGAGUGAUAAGAUCCGUAGUCAAAAGGGAAACAGCCCAGACCGCCAGCUAAGGUCCCAAAGUGUGUAUUAAGUGGAAAAGGAUGUGGAGUUGCUUAGACAACUAGGAUGUUGGCUUAGAAGCAGCCACCAUUUAAAGAGUGCGUAAUAGCUCACUAGUCGAGUGACUCUGCGCCGAAAAUGUACCGGGGCUAAAUACACCACCGAAGCUGCGGAUUGAUACCAAUGGUAUCAGUGGUAGGGGAGCGUUCUAAGGACAGUGAAGUCAGACCGUAAGGACUGGUGGAGUGCUUAGAAGUGAGAAUGCCGGUAUGAGUAGCGAAAGACGGGUGAGAAUCCCGUCCACCGAAUGCCUAAGGUUUCCUGAGGAAGGCUCGUCCGCUCAGGGUUAGUCAGGACCUAAGCCGAGGCCGACAGGCGUAGGCGAUGGACAACAGGUUGAUAUUCCUGUACCACCUCUUUAUCGUUUGAGCAAUGGAGGGACGCAGAAGGAUAGAAGAAGCGUGCGAUUGGUUGUGCACGUCCAAGCAGUUAGGCUGAUAAGUAGGCAAAUCCGCUUAUCGUGAAGGCUGAGCUGUGAUGGGGAAGCUCCUUAUGGAGCGAAGUCUUUGAUUCCCCGCUGCCAAGAAAAGCUUCUAGCGAGAUAAAAGGUGCCUGUACCGCAAACCGACACAGGUAGGCGAGGAGAGAAUCCUAAGGUGUGCGAGAGAACUCUGGUUAAGGAACUCGGCAAAAUGACCCCGUAACUUCGGGAGAAGGGGUGCUUUCUUAACGGAAAGCCGCAGUGAAUAGGCCCAAGCGACUGUUUAGCAAAAACACAGCUCUCUGCGAAGCCGUAAGGCGAAGUAUAGGGGGUGACACCUGCCCGGUGCUGGAAGGUUAAGGAGAGGGGUUAGCGUAAGCGAAGCUCUGAACUGAAGCCCCAGUAAACGGCGGCCGUAACUAUAACGGUCCUAAGGUAGCGAAAUUCCUUGUCGGGUAAGUUCCGACCCGCACGAAAGGUGUAACGAUUUGGGCACUGUCUCAACCAGAGACUCGGUGAAAUUAUAGUACCUGUGAAGAUGCAGGUUACCCGCGACAGGACGGAAAGACCCCGUGGAGCUUUACUGUAGCCUGAUAUUGAAUUUUGGUACAGUUUGUACAGGAUAGGCGGGAGCCAUUGAAACCGGAGCGCUAGCUUCGGUGGAGGCGCUGGUGGGAUACCGCCCUGACUGUAUUGAAAUUCUAACCUACGGGUCUUAUCGACCCGGGAGACAGUGUCAGGUGGGCAGUUUGACUGGGGCGGUCGCCUCCUAAAGUGUAACGGAGGCGCCCAAAGGUUCCCUCAGAAUGGUUGGAAAUCAUUCGUAGAGUGCAAAGGCAUAAGGGAGCUUGACUGCGAGACCUACAAGUCGAGCAGGGACGAAAGUCGGGCUUAGUGAUCCGGUGGUUCCGCAUGGAAGGGCCAUCGCUCAACGGAUAAAAGCUACCCCGGGGAUAACAGGCUUAUCUCCCCCAAGAGUCCACAUCGACGGGGAGGUUUGGCACCUCGAUGUCGGCUCAUCGCAUCCUGGGGCUGUAGUCGGUCCCAAGGGUUGGGCUGUUCGCCCAUUAAAGCGGUACGCGAGCUGGGUUCAGAACGUCGUGAGACAGUUCGGUCCCUAUCCGUCGUGGGCGUAGGAAAUUUGAGAGGAGCUGUCCUUAGUACGAGAGGACCGGGAUGGACGCACCGCUGGUGUACCAGUUGUUCUGCCAAGGGCAUAGCUGGGUAGCUAUGUGCGGAAGGGAUAAGUGCUGAAAGCAUCUAAGCAUGAAGCCCCCCUCAAGAUGAGAUUUCCCAUAGCGUAAGCUAGUAAGAUCCCUGAAAGAUGAUCAGGUUGAUAGGUUCGAGGUGGAAGCAUGGUGACAUGUGGAGCUGACGAAUACUAAUAGAUCGAGG
This 2915-nucleotide ribosomal RNA is filed under the name Bacillus thuringiensis serovar coreanensis. RNAcentral describes it as "bacterial LSU rRNA". It matches the Rfam family "Bacterial large subunit ribosomal RNA". Lineage: Bacteria; Bacillati; Bacillota; Bacilli; Caryophanales; Bacillaceae. The record is from RNAcentral.